Molecule: small nuclear RNA, 105 nt
Organism: Erinaceus europaeus (western European hedgehog)
Lineage: Eukaryota; Metazoa; Chordata; Mammalia; Eulipotyphla; Erinaceidae
Source: Ensembl
AUACUCACUUUGGAAGCACAUACACAAAAACUGGAGCGUCACAGAGAAGAUCAGCAUGGUCCCUGCACAAUGAUGCCAUGCAAAUUCAUAGUGUUUCAUAUAUUU